This 207-nucleotide ribosomal RNA is filed under the name uncultured bacterium. RNAcentral's name for it is "partial 16S ribosomal RNA". It matches the Rfam family "Bacterial small subunit ribosomal RNA", at positions 568 to 774 of the family's 1533-position model. The record is from RNAcentral.
CUCGUAGGCGGUUCGUCGCGUCCGGUGUGAAAGUCCAUCGCCUAACGGUGGAUCUGCGCCGGGUACGGGCGGGCUUGAGUGCGGUAGGGGAGACUGGAAUUCCCGGUGUAACGGUGGAAUGUGUAGAUAUCGGGAAGAACACCAAUGGCGAAGGCAGGUCUCUGGGCCGUUACUGACGCUGAGGAGCGAAAGCGUGGGGAGCGAACA